RNAcentral lists this ribosomal RNA (521 nucleotides) under uncultured bacterium. RNAcentral describes it as "bacterial SSU rRNA". It matches the Rfam family "Bacterial small subunit ribosomal RNA", at positions 8 to 518 of the family's 1533-position model. The record is from RNAcentral.
AGAGUUGAUCAUGGCUCAGAACAACGCUGGCGGCGCGUCUAAGCAUGCAAGUCGAGCGGCAAGCUGCCUUCGGGCAGCCUAGAGCGGCGGACUGGUGAGUAACGCGUGGAUGACGCACCCUCGCGACGGGGAUAGCCUGUGGAAACACAGGGUAAUACCGGAUAAGCCGGGCAUUGUUGGAGGAUGUCCGGGAAAGGGGCCAUUGCCCCCGCGGGAGGAGCGGUCCGCGUCCCAUCAGCUAGUAGGCGGUGUAACGGACCACCUAGGCGAUGACGGGUACCCGGCCUGAGAGGGCGACGGGCACAUUGGGACUGAGAUACGGCCCAGACUCCUACGGGAGGCAGCAGCUAAGAAUAUUCCGCAAUGGGCGAAAGCCUGACGGAGCGACGCCGCGUGGACGAUUGAAGGCCGGAAGGUUGCAGAGUCCUUUGGCGGCGCGAGGAAGGAGGGGAGGAAUGGAAAGCCUUCCCGGUGACUGUAGCGCGAGAACAAGCACCGGCUAAUUACGUGCCAGCCGCGGC